Molecule: non-coding RNA, 151 nt
Filed under: bovine gut metagenome
Source: RNAcentral
UCCAGGUGCCCCCAGGGGCCCAACAGGGAAGCCGGUGGGAAACCGGAACUGUGCCCGCAGCUGUGUCAUCCGUUAUCGGCUCCACGAAUUGCCAUUGGGAAUCUCCCCGAGAAGGCCGGAGCCGGGAGAAGUCAGAAGACCUGCCUGAAUC